UACGAGGGGUGCAAGCGUUGCUCGGAAUUAUUGGGCGUAAAGGGUAGGUAGGUGGUCUCAUUUGUCUGAGGUGAAAGCCUUGAGCUUAACUCAAGAAGUGCCUUAGAAACGGUGAGACUGGAGUAUUGGAGAGGGUCGUGGAAUUCCCGGUGUAGCGGUGAAAUGCGUAGAGAUCGGGAGGAACACCAGAGGCGAAAGCGGCGACCUGGACAAUUACUGACACUCAAUUACGAAAGCGUGGGGAGCAAACAG
RNAcentral lists this ribosomal RNA (252 nucleotides) under uncultured bacterium. RNAcentral's name for it is "partial 16S ribosomal RNA". It matches the Rfam family "Bacterial small subunit ribosomal RNA", at positions 524 to 775 of the family's 1533-position model. The record is from RNAcentral.